RNAcentral lists this ribosomal RNA (405 nucleotides) under uncultured eukaryote. Its description in RNAcentral is "SSU rRNA". It matches the Rfam family "Eukaryotic small subunit ribosomal RNA", at positions 592 to 1004 of the family's 1831-position model. The record is from RNAcentral.
CAAUAGCGUAUAUUAAAGUUGUUGCAGUUAAAAGCUCGUAGUUGGAUUUCUGGGAGGGUGACUUUGUCCGCCAAAGCGCGUGUGCAGCGGCGCCCUUCCAUCCUUCUGUUAACGCCUCUUGGCAUUCACUUGCUGGUGGCGGGCUCAGAUAUUUUACCUUGAGAAAAUUAGAGUGUUUCAGGCAGGCUAGGCCGGAAUACAUUAGCAUGGAAUAAUGGAAUAGGACUAUGGUCUCUUUGUUGGUUUGAGGGACUGCAGUAAUGAUUAAUAGGGAUAGUUGGGGGCGAUUAGUAUUUAAUUGUCAGAGGUGGAAUUCUCAGAUUUGUUAAAGACUAACUUAUGCGAAAGACAUUUGUCCAAGGAAUGUUUUCUAUUAAUCAAGAACGAAAGUUAGGGGAGUCAAAG